This 1984-nucleotide long non-coding RNA is filed under the name Chrysolophus pictus (golden pheasant). Its description in RNAcentral is "lncRNA (ENSCPIG00010005892.1)". Lineage: Eukaryota; Metazoa; Chordata; Aves; Galliformes; Phasianidae. The record is from RNAcentral.
AAAUCAUUAUUUUUCCCUGUUAAGCGCUUAUAAGGCUGCGUGUGGAGGACUGUGCAUGUGUCUGGCACACAACAGACACUGGAAUACUGGGGCAAUUCUAGCAAAGGUGAGAAGGUAAAUCCUAUUGUUGUCUUUAGCUGUUCUGCAGGGUUGGGGUACAGAGAAGACCAACUCUUCUUGGAGGUACACAAUGAAAGGAAGAGAGAGAAUACUGCAAAUUGCAGCAAGAGAAAUUCCAAUUAGAUGUGAUGAAAACAAAUUUCUUAAUGAGAGUAGUCAAACAUUGGAAUAGAUUGCCCAAAGAGAUUGGCCAUGGUUUGGUGGUAGGGUGGAGAUGUGUAGAAUCAGCUGAUCUCCAGUGCUCCAUUCCAACCUAAGCUGGCUCUGCGAUUCUUGAAGAUGAAUGUGAGCUGUUGCUGGCAGUCAGCUGCUUAUAUUUGUCCUAAUGAGGUAGCAUUUCUUGACUUGACAAAGCAGACAUGAAAUAGAGUAGCAAGUUGGAUUGAUUUUAGAUACUUGAAAAACACAAUUUUAUUGGCUGAAAAACACAUCUUCAGAUCUAUUUGGUUAUUUCUGCUUUCUGGAGAUGGAUGAUUAGGAAACUCUGACUAGGAAUUACUGCUUUAAAUAUAUGCAUAUUACUAGGGUCCUCUGGUAGUUUUUUACUUUUAUGACUGUAUCGUGCCUUCUCCCAACCUCUCACCUCUCCAAGUUGUUAUUUUGAAGAACAAAAAGUAAUUACUUACUGAGUAAAUGUUUAUUUGCUUUAAUGGACCUGUUACAUCUGAUAAAGACAAAACACCUAGUGCAUGCUUUUCUGAGAGUGAUAAUGUGUCACAGUCAUUCAAAUAUUGCUUUUGUUUUCAGAGCUUCAAAUGGAGCCAAAAGAUGAUGCCAACUAUGCUGCUGCAGCAGGUCAUUAAGUGCCUGCUUUAUUUUGCAUGGGAGGAUGUUACCUGGCUGCAUUCCAGAAGGGAACCCUAAAAGGCAGAAGUUGCUGGUUUUCUCUGAAGACUUUUGGCUAAUACAAGAAAUGCUCUGUAGAUCUGCCAGUUUCUCUGUGGGAUUGCAUAAUACAGCCCUACUAAUAUCAAGGAAUCACUACUAGGUGAAUGGCCCCAUCUGCUGGUACAGACUUGCUUAUUAUUUUUCACAUAUAAAUAUCCUUUUGUGUCCUUGGUUUAACUGGAUUUCAGACCGUAAUGAUCACAUUUGUUAAUUUUCUGGCUUCUGGACCAAGGAGAGCAGCGAAGGACCUGCACUACGGUCAGUUGCUCUGUGUAUUUCUUUCUACUUCUGCUGUUGAUUUCUUUGACUACCAAGACAAAUCACUCUACUGCUGUUGUGUGCCCUUUAGUGUACCCAUAAGCAUUAACACCGGAAGCAAAAUAAUCUCAUUAUUUCAAGCUAAAAUGGAUUAGCAAUAUUAGGGUUAACAAUUCGUUGACAAUUAACUAAUAACGGGAAUAUGAGAGGCAAAGACUUCAGUCUUCACUAGUAUCCACAGAAAUGCUACUAAAUGAGUCAUUGAUGCCUUAUUUGACAAUCCACAUAUAAAGUCUGAGCUAGCCAGGUACAAAUGACAUACAAGGAACUCACUGCAGCAGAUCCUAGACCUAUGGAUUUGGAAAUUGGGAUUUUCCCACAUUAGGACCCACAUAGUCUACUAAUGAGUUAGUCGAUACUUUUCUCACGCUAGCAUUGGCUAUGCAAUACUGGACUUGAUUUUAUCUCCCACUUACAUCAGGUUUCAUCCACCCUAGGUUGAAUCUCACUGCUCACAGAACUGAGAAGGAGGUCAUUGUCUUCCAAAACAGAACCUUUCUACAUUUGGGGCUCAGCAGCAUUUUUAUUUUAUUUUAACUCUAGUCCACUGAUUCAUGUGCUCUAAGCUUUUAUUUACACUCUGUUAAAACAGGAAAAUCACACAUCAAAUAUUGCAUUUCUACCUUGCUUCUGUAUUUCUUCAUGCUUUCAACUUUGA